Non-coding RNA from Salvia hispanica, 1655 nucleotides. The record is from RefSeq and is a predicted model, not a curated record. NCBI's taxonomy places the organism in Eukaryota, Viridiplantae, Streptophyta, Magnoliopsida, Lamiales, Lamiaceae.
GAGAGAAAAAAUUCAAAGGAAGAAAACCCCACGCGGCGAGGCCUGUGGUAGCGCGCACGAUAACACCUGCCCAUCCACCACCGAAAUGGCGCACGAUAGCAUGCCCCUCCCUAAGCCGUGGCCUCUCAUCUCAUCUCAAUCUCAUCUUUCUAGAUCCUCCAAGUCAGCCCCCCCCCGUCUGCCGCCCCCUUUAACAACCCUACCCCACCGCCCUCCUCUCCCUUUCAUUAUGCUACAACCACCACUCCCUCCCCUCCUCCUCCUCCUCCUCUCAGAUCUCCCUCCGCAUCAUGGCCGACGACUCCCACACCCGCACGCCCUCCGCCUCCCGCCGCCUUCCCCCUCCCUGCUGGUCCCCCGAUGAGACCGUCGCCCUAAUCGAAGCCUACAGAGACAAGUGGUACUCCCUCCGCCGCGGCAACCUCAAGGCCACCCACUGGCAAGAAGUCGCCGAUGACGUCGCCGCCAGGUGCCCCGCAGGCCUCCCCAAGACCCCCGUCCAGUGCCGCCAUAAGAUGGAGAAGCUCCGGAAGAGGUACCGCUCCGAGAUCCAGCGCGCCGCCGCGCACCGAUUCAAUUCCUCGUGGGCCCACUUCCAGAGCAUGUGUUCCAUGGAGAAAGGCCCCAAUCCCGCCCCUUCCUCCUCCGACGACGAUUACAAUAACAAUAGCAUCAGAAGGGUGAACGAUUUGUAUAAUUCCAAUCAGAAAGGAGCCUACGGUGGCCAAUUGAAUGAGAAUAAUGGUGCGGGGAGCGGUUUCCGGAUCAAGAUCCCGGGCCGGGCUACACAGGGACCUACUGUGGCCAAGGUUUAUUCGAAAUUCGAUGAGAUGGGUGGUUCAAACCCUAUUUACCAUAACCCUAGGUUUACGAAUUAUGCUGCGGGUGUGAAUGGGGCUGCCUCGACCAAGAUUUCUAGGGAUGGCUUUGUUGGUGCGGGGCAAAUUAGGAAGAGGGCUGAUGAAAUGCCAAAAAAGAGGGAUGGUUUGAGUGAGCUAGUUGCUGCAAUUCAUGGUUUGGGGGAGGGUUUUAUGAGGAUGGAGAAGGCUAAGAUGGAUAUGGUGAAGCAAAUUGAGGAGAUGCGGAUGGAGAUGGAGUUGAAGAGGACGGAGAUGUUGCUUGACUCAGAGCAGAGGAUUGUCGAGGCGUUUGCUCAGGCGAAAUCCGAGAGAAGUGCAAAACGGGCCAAAAGGAAUUCGACUACACCUGAUUGACAUCAAGAAUUGGAGUAUUGGAAUUUCUGUGUAAUGUGGGUUUGGAACCAACACAAUCUGCUACUUUAGUGCUAGCUUGCUCUCCAUGUAGCUUGAUUUGCAUUUUGUUUUCUGUUGGUAGGUUUUGUAUUGGUAAAAGGAAGUGGUUGGUUAUAGCCCUGUUUGGUCUGUUUAGAGUUUUUCUUGGACAUCAACUCUUGCUUGAGCUGAGGCAUUUUGAAUGUUGGUUGCUGUGGUGCACUGCUGGUUUCAGGUUUAUCAAAUUAUUUUGCUGAGUAUAUCAAGGUUUCUUAUUGAGUUUGUGAAGAAUGUGAUUGCAAAUUUACAACUGCCUAUUUGCAAAAUUGCAGACACAGAGAUACAAGAAGGGGAGCAGUUUUGUCAAUACAAAAAUGGACAGGAAUGAUUGAAAUUGUAUGAAAUAUCACUAGAUUUGAUUAA